UUGUCAUGUGUCAGACGUGCGUAUCCGAAGCAAAAUUUAUUGAGCUUUCCUGUUGGUUGUACACAGUUGCAGUUUGUAGAGUGCUCUGCUUAACCGCUUAACUCUGAUUUCUUUAUAAUGUUUGUAUUAAAAUAUAAUAUGGAGCUCCGACUUAUAUUUUUAAUAUUCUUUAUGCUUGCCGUCUUCACAAGUGCUCUGCCGGCUGAAUCAGGCUCGCAACCAAUGAAAAGAGAUCUUGCUGAAUCUGUGAAGGAUGCAUGGAAUGGUGCCGUCAAGACUGUUAGUGAUGCUGGAGAUGCUGUCGUCGAUGCGGUUAAGCCAACUGAGAAAAGUGUUAUCGACAAAAUGGCUAGCGGUCUGAAGGACAUUGUUGAAUAAUAUCUCUGUUUAUAAUAUCUCUUUUAAAUGUUCACUAUUAAUUAUUGUACCUAAUUGUCUUUUCGUACAUUUUUGAGAUAUUAUGGCUUUAACAAAUAUUUAAUAAAAUGUUCUGUAAUCGAAA
Leptidea sinapis is the source of this 502-nucleotide long non-coding RNA. RefSeq lists it as uncharacterized. The record is from RefSeq and is a predicted model, not a curated record. The transcript is spliced from 2 exons. Lineage: Eukaryota; Metazoa; Arthropoda; Insecta; Lepidoptera; Pieridae.